GAUGAACGCUGGCGGCGUGCCUAAUACAUGCAAGUCGAGCGAACAGAUAAGGAGCUUGCUCCUUUGACGUUAGCGGCGGACGGGUGAGUAACACGUGGGUAACCUACCUAUAAGACUGGAAUAACUCCGGGAAACCGGGGCUAAUGCCGGAUAACAUUUAGAACCGCAUGGUUCUAAAGUGAAAGAUGGUUUUGCUAUCACUUAUAGAUGGACCCGCGCCGUAUUAGCUAGUUGGUAAGGUAACGGCUUACCAAGGCAACGAUACGUAGCCGACCUGAGAGGGUGAUCGGCCACACUGGAACUGAGACACGGUCCAGACUCCUACGGGAGGCAGCAGUAGGGAAUCUUACGCAAUGGGCGAAAGCCUGACGGAGCAACGCCGCGUGAGUGAUGAAGGUCUUCGGAUCGUAAAACUCUGUUAUUAGGGAAGAACAAAUGUGUAAGUAACUGUGCACGUCUUGACGGUACCUAAUCAGAAAGCCACGGCUAACUACGUG
This 497-nucleotide ribosomal RNA is filed under the name uncultured bacterium. RNAcentral describes it as "partial 16S ribosomal RNA". It matches the Rfam family "Bacterial small subunit ribosomal RNA", at positions 28 to 507 of the family's 1533-position model. The record is from RNAcentral.